GAAACCCUAAAAGCCACAACUUGAGAAAUCCCUAACCCUAAAACUGUCUGCAGCGAUUUCGUCCUCGUGGUCAUCGAAGCAGCAACCUAGAGUUGUUCGUGGCUGGGUGGUCGGCAUCGCUGCGUCGUCGUCCUGGUGAAGGUUUUGGUGUCGUCCCUAAAACCCAGUGUUUGGGUGUCGUUCGUAAACCUCAGCAUGGAAAGGAGUUCCUCAUCGUACACCUCAGAGGCCCGAAGUCGCGUGGUGUGUUUGUGUAACGUAGAGGCUCCACUGGUGACAUCGUGGACCGAGGAUAAUCCAGGGAAGCAUUUUUAUGGUUGUGGUCUAUACAAGGUUAUAGGUAGGAAAGGGUGUAACUAUUUUGAGUGGCACGAUCCAGUUGCCAACAUUUGUCAAAAGAAGAUCACUGUAACAUUGAUGAAGAAGGUUGAUGAAUUGAAAUUGAGGGAAAAGGAUUUGCUAACCAAGAUGAGUGACAUGAAGAUGAAGGGAAAAUUUUUAGGGAUUGUAUUGGUUUUUUCUUGGGUCUGUGUUUGGUUGUUAUUGUUUUUAUUAUGUAGCAGAGGAAUGUGAUUUCAUAAUGUAGUAGGAGAAUGUAAUUUGACAAUGUAGUAGCAGGGGAAUGUAAUUGGCUGUUGGUCUUUUUUUUGCUGGGUCUCUGCAAAUGGUAGUAAUUUGGCACCAUUAUGUUGUUUAUUUAGGAAGAAAGUAAUGGUGAUAAUUUGGUUUUUUGUAAUCUGUAGAUUGUAAUUGUUGAAUUGUUCAAUGGCUAUGUUAAUGACA
Molecule: long non-coding RNA, 783 nt
Organism: Glycine soja
Lineage: Eukaryota; Viridiplantae; Streptophyta; Magnoliopsida; Fabales; Fabaceae
Exons: 2
Source: RefSeq, a predicted model, not a curated record